UAGAAUAUUAUGCUCAGAUGUUUUUAAUAUUGAAUAUAAAUUAUAUAUAUGUAUAUACAUUUUUUGUGAAAUAAAAAAUAUAUAAUCGUAUCGGGCCGGACCUGCACUACGGGCCGAGGCUACAUCCCAAGCACGUCACGACAUUCUUGGCUCUUGCAAACAUUAGAUCGUUUCUGAGACCACAUUGGCGCAAUGGACUCCAUGGUGUUUGAGGUUGCUGAAUUGGAUGGAGCAACAAUAAUUUGUCACACUAACAGUAAAAUGAAAGGUUAUUUGUUAGUUUUAAACGUUAGUAAUUGCUACGAAGUAGCAUAAUUUAUAUGGAGCUAAGAAGUCACAUGAACUCAAACUUAUAAAAAAGAUAUAUCAAAAUAUGGAGUGAUUGCUAAAGUCAGACAUCAAUAAAAACUUUCUCUUAGGUCUCUGUAUGAUAGAAUUAUGUUAUUUUAUAAUCUAUGUUCGUUCAGUCAGUCAUUAUGAACUCUCUUCUAAUCGCUCACUUUAUUGGUCAUGUUAUAUUGGAUUGAGUAAAUAAUAACAUCAGUUAGCCAAAUUUUUUAAAAAAUAUUAUAGUGGAGACAAUCAAUAAAAAAUAUUAAAUUUUUUGGUGGAUACUUUAUAUGGAUAUUGUUGUAAGCCGUCGCAACGCACGGGCAAUCGACUAGUUUAAAUAUAUAUGCCAGUGUCAUACUAUUUUAGGCUAUUCCCAGUCCAAAAUAUUAUAGUCCAAUAUCCAAUAAUGCCACAUAGGAUGAAAAGUAUGAUACCGCUACAAGAUACACCUUCUGUAGUGUAUAGUAUUAUAGUUAUAUGUUUUAAUUAUUUAAUUGGUGUGAUGUUGUGUCUAUGAGAACGGACCCCAAGUAUUAUUUUUUGUGCCACAACCUAAGAUAUGGUGUCUGUCGGGGAGGAAAUCUCCCCGGCCGGGUGGCGAAUUGCACCCGCCCUAAAUCCUAAAGAGAGGAGGGGCCUAAGCGUUUUGCUUGCUACGAGACUGGUGGAUCAACACACGAGAGCACGCGAGGGUUUAGAGUGGUUCGGGCCGCCGGAGCGUAAUACCCUACUCCACUGUGUGAUGUAUUGCUUAGGAGCUUGUAUGAACUUGAGAGUGUCUGCCUAGAGUUGGGUCUCGUAACGUCGCAUGCAUCCCCUUUUAUAGCUGAAGGGGGGCAUGCACAAAGGCACUGAGCCCCGAAAUGUGGGUCCAGGGACAUAGAGAAUAUAACGCUUGGGACUAUAAAUAUUUGUUGUCGGGGCAAUCCCCUUGUGUCCUGUCGUCCGAGAUCUGUGGAUCUUCGGCGUGCAGGGGAAGAUUCUUGUAGAAGGGAUAACACAUUGUGCUGCUUGGCACGGACGCACUGUUCGCCAGCAGACCCAGCAGGCGCGCCACCUGCUGGAUGACCUUGACGCCGCCUGCCAGCGGAUGGGACGGGACACAUUAAAUGUUGAAAGGGCACGUCGCCCGUCAGCGCAGUGACAGGCGGCGCGUCCUCUCCUCAAUAAAUGCAGGGGCUACACGGCUUUACGUCAGGCUCGGCCCGAUGGCUUAUGUCAUGGGCCACAAGCAGCGGGCCUUCGCCUGGGCAGGGAGCAGAGAGCAAGGCCUGCACAUGUGUCGGCAUUGGACCCAUGUAUCCCCCAAGGUCCUUCUCGUUCCGGAACCCUGCCGGGGUUCGGACCUACCCUGGGGCUCCGGACCUUUAUGUAUAUAGGGGCCCGGUGACCCUCUAAGGGGGUUUGGUCUUACUGAGGCAUGGUGCCUUUCCUCGCCAUGUGACGCCCUUUGGCCCGCCCAUCCGGUGGAGUUAGGCGCGGUCCUCCGCGCGGCCAGGAGACGUCGCAGGGGUGCGAUGCCUUUAUGCUGUAGGAGAGGGUACCCCUGAUUUAGGGUACCGACAGUGGCCCCCGGUCCCGCCUCAGGGGAGGGUGCGAGCCUGCAUGUGGGACCAGAGUCUGUCUGGUGGUUGGACCGCUGCUUCCGUGCGCCUGUUGCUGCAAUUAUUGUCGGCCCGCUUAUGACCCCGCCAACUGCCGUGCCUAUUCUUACAGCUGGCUGAUCCGUGACUGUCGUACUUAACGACAUUGCUUGGCCAUGCGCGGGGCUGCCUCGAGUCGCUGCACUGGUUCUGAAAAAUUUACCUUUUCAGAAUUCGUGACAGUCCCGAGAAGACAAGGCAUUGGCGCAGGCGGCGAUGCGGCUUCUUUGCACACGGUAACCGGUGCGUCGGUUACAUGACGUGUGGGCCUGGGCCCCUGAGUUGGACCGCCAGUUGUGGCGGAGCUGAGGGAGCGCACAGCCAUGGGACGGUUGUACGCUUCUUGCGCGACGGUUUGCCUCUUUGACCGCUGGAUACGGCGAAGAUGAAAGGACGCUUAAUCGUGGGGCGGUUGCAUGCCCCUUGCACGGCGGUCCGCCUUCCUAACUGCUAGUUGCCCCGAAAAUGAAGGGGCGCGUAACCGCAGGGCAGUCGCACGCUCCCUCUUAGGGUCAGUUUGCAUGACAUGUGGGGCCUGGCCCCCAUGUCAUAAGGUGGGAUCCUUGGUGCACACUGGGGGAGACUUCACUCGUGACGCUUCAGGGGCGCGAGCGGGAAGAUCUGCCUUUAAAAAGGGGGUCGAUCUCCCGGUCAGUAGUCAUGCCUCGCUCCUCUUGCGACCACCGCACCCUUUCGCCUUCUGGGCCUCCAAAUGGUGUGCGCCGGUGUUCUCUGGAGGGAUCCGCGGCAAGGCCGUCUCUUCCGACGACUUCACCAUGGGAGAGCGUGCACUCGUGGUGGUGUCGCCGAUCUUGUCUUCUUUCCGCUGCUGUUGGAGGGGUGCAACCCCAUGGGAGUUGGUAUCCUUCUACCACCAUUUGGCUUCAAGGAUUUUCAUCAUGCAGCCCGGCUGUAGUCCCCCGCCGAUGGUCACCCAGAAGAAUGACCACCAGCCUCGUGGUGGGGAGAAGCAAGCCUGAAAGGGAAAUGUGCCCUUGGGCCAUUUCUAAGUAUUUUGGUGAUUUAGUGUCCAACACAAGUGCCUAAGUGUUAAAUGGUGGACAAAGUACAAAUCGAGUAUAAAGGUAUGUUUCUCAGACUUAGUACAUUGUUUUAGAGACUAAUGUAUUGUGUCUAAGUGCUGGAAAUAGGAUAAUCAAGUUGAAACUAAAGAUGGCUUUGUUCAGCCAAAGUCAGCCCUGUCUGGGUGCACCGGACUGUCCGGUGGUGCAACAGACAGUGUCCGGUGGUGCACCGGACAUUGUCCGGUGGUGCACCGGACAUUGUCCGGUGCGCCAGGCUAGCUCAGGCGAACUUGCUGCUCUCGGGAAGUGAUUAACAGCGUACGACUAUAAUUCACCGGACUGUCCGGUGUGCACCGGACUGUCCGGUGAGCCAACGGUCGGCCGGGCCAACGGUCGGCCGUACGAUCCGCGCGAGACACGUGGUCGAGCCAACGGUCAGAAGGGGGCACCGGACUGUCUGGUGUGCACCGGACAGUGUCCGGUGCGCCAACGGCUCUCAAGUGCCAACGGUCGGCUUCGCCAAAGAAGGAAAGAAAUCCGCACCGGACAGUGUCCGGUGGUGCACCGGACUGUCCGGUGCGCCAGGCGACAGAAGGCAAGAAUUGCCUUCUUGAAUUGCUCUCAAUGGCUCCUAGCUGCCUUGGGGCUAUAAAAGGGACCCCUAGGCGCAUGGAGGAGAACACCAAGCAUUCUCUAAGCAUUCCUAAGCACCAAGACUUCGAUUCCGCGCAUUUGAUUCUUUGUGAUAGCAAUUGGAGCUCUAUUUGAGUUGUGAACUCAUCGAGUUGUGUUGUGAGCUCUUGUUGCGACUUGUGUGCGUGUUGUCGCUCUGAUUUUGUGUCUUGUGUGCGUUGCUCAUCCCUUCCUUACUCUGUGCUUCUUUGUGAACAUCAAAGUGUAAGGGCGAGAGACUCCAAGUUGUGGAGAUUCCUCGCAAGUGGGAUAUAGUAAAGUGAAAGCAAAACACCGUGGUAUUCAAGUGGGUCUUUGGACCGCUUGAAAGGGGUUGAUUGCAACCCUCGUCCAUUGGGACGCCACAACGUGGAGUAGGCAAGUGUUGGACUUGGCUGAACCACGGGAUAAACCACUGUGCCACCUCUGUGUUGAUCUCUUUGUGGUUAUCGUGUUGUGCAAGCUCUCUUCUCUAGCCACUUGGCUUAAUUGUGCUAACUCCUAAUCAAGUUUUGUGGAUUAAGUUUCAAGUUUUCAUAGGAUCACCUAUUCACCCCCCCUCUAGGUGCUCUCAAUUGGUAUCGGAGCCAUUCUCUUCAAGAAAGGGACUAAUCGCCCGAAGAGAUGGAUCCUAAGGGCAAGGGGAUUGUGAUCAAUGAUAAGGAGAAGGAGUCCUUCGUCAACGAGCCAAAAGAUGACAAGCCUACCAACUCGGGCUCGGGCCACAAACGAAAAGAUGGAAAGAAGAAGAAGACGAGGCACAUCAAGGAGAUUGUCUACUACGACGACAGCGACGAGUCCUCUUCUUCCCAAAAGGACGACGACAACGACUACGAGAAAAAGAAGACGGUUAACUCAAACUUCUCUUUCAAUUAUUCUCGUAUUCCGCAUAGCUCAAAUGCACAUUUGCUUUCCAUUCCUCUUGGCAAACCUCCUCAUUUUGAUGGAGAGGACUACGGAUUUUGGAGUCACAAAAUGCGUAGUCACUUGUUCUCUCUCCAUCCUAGUAUAUGGGAGAUAGUAGAGAGUGGAAUGAAAUUUGAUAGCUCAGAUAGUCCGUUGUUUAUCAAUGAACAGAUUCAUAAAAAUGCACAAGCUACUACUGUGUUGUUAGCCUCAUUGUGCAGGGACGAGUACCAUAAGGUGAGCGGCUUGGACAAUGCCAAGCAGAUUUGGGACACCCUCAAGAUCUCACAUGAGGGGAACGACGUCACCAUGCUCACCAAGAUGGAGUUGGUGGAAGGCGAACUCAGGAGAUUCGCGAUGAUAAGAGGGGAGGAGCCAACCCAGACGUACAACAGGCUCAAAACUCUCGUCAACAAGAUAAGGAGCUAUGGAAGCACGCGAUGGACGGACCAUGACGUUGUCCGCCUAAUGCUAAGGUCCUUUACCGUCCUUGAUCCACAUCUUGUGAACAAUAUUCGUGAGAAUCCUAGGUACACGAAGAUGACGCCCGAGGAGAUCCUUGGAAAGUUCGUAAGCGGACGGAUGAUGAUCAAGGAGGCUAGAUACGUCGACGAUGCAUUAAAUGGCCCAAUCCAAGAGCCUCAAACUAUUGCUCUCAAGGCAACAAGGAGCAAGGAGGCGCUACCUAACAAGGUGGCGCAAGUUGAGGCGGUCGGGCUUAAUGAUGAAGAGAUGGCCCUCAUCAUCAAGCGGUUCAAGACGGCGCUAAAGGGUCGCAAGGAGCACCCCAACAAGAACAAGACGAAAGGGAAGCGCUCCUGCUUCAAAUGUGGUAAGAUUGGUCAUUUUAUCUCUAAUUGUCCCGAUAAUGAUAGUGACCAGGAAAAGAAGAGUGGAAAGUGGGAAAAGAAGAAGAACUACAAGAAGGCGAAGGACGAGGCACAUCUUGGAAAGGAGUGGGAUUCGGAUUGCUCCUCGUCCGACUCCGACAACGAAGGACUCACCGCCACCGCCUUCAACAAGUCAUCCCUCUUCCCCAACGAGCAUCAUACUUGCCUCAUGGCAAGGGAAAAGAAGGUAAGCACUCGUAAUACUAGUACUUAUGCUUCUUCAAGUGAGGAUGAGUCUAGUGAUGAUGAUGAAAUAGAUUAUUCAUGUUUAUUCAAGGGCCUAGAUAGAACUAAGGUUGAUAAAAUUAAUGAAUUAAUUGAUGCCUUGAAUGAUAAGAAUAGGUUAUUAGAAAAGCAAGAGGAUCUUUUGUAUGAAGAGCAUGAUAAAUUUGUUAGUGCACAAAAUUCUCUUGCUCUAGAAGUUAAAAGGAAUGAAAUGCUUUCUUGUGAAUUAUCUACUUGUCAUGAAACCAUUUCUACUUUAAAAGGUGUUAAUGAUGAUUUAAAUGCUAAACUAGAAGUAGCAAAUAAAUCUAACUCUUGUGUAGAACAUGUUAUGAUUUGCACUAGGUGUAAAGAUUUUAACGUUGAUGAUUGUAAUGAACACCUAGUUUCAAUUUCUAAAUUGAAUGAUGAAGUGGCUAGUCUUAAUGCCCAACUUAAGACUAGCAAGAGUGAAUUUGAUAAACUAAAAUUUGCAAGGGAUGCCUACACAGUUGGUAGACACCCCUCAAUUAAGGAUGGCCUUGGCUUCAAGAGGGAAGCCAAGAACUUGACAAGUCAUAAGGCUCCCAUCUCCAUCAAGGAGAAAGGGAAGGCCCCUAUGGCUAGUAGUGCUCAAAAGAACCAUGCCUUCAUGUAUCAUGAUAGGAGACAUUCUAGAAAUGUUUAUAGAAGUUAUGAUGCUUUUAAUUCUCAUACCAUGGUUGCUUCUAGUUCUUCUAUUAUGCAUGAUAGAAAUUUAGCUAGGAGAAAUGUUAUUAAUCACAUGCCUAGAAGAAAUGUUGUUCAUGUUUCUAGGAAAAUAAUAAAUGAACCUUCUACAAUUUAUCAUGCUUGCAAUGCUUCAUUCGAAAUUUGUAGAAAGGAUAGAAAAGUGAUUGCUAGGAAACUAGGGGCAAAAUGCAAGGGUGAUAAAACUUGCAUUUGGGUCCCUAAGGAUAUUGUCACUAACCUUGUAGGACCCAACAAGAGUUGGGUACCUAAGACCCAAGUCUAAAUUUGCCUUGCAGGUUUAUGCAUCCGGGGGAUCAAGCUGGAUUAUCGACAGCGGAUGCACAAACCACAUGACGGGGGAGAAGAAGAUGUUUACCUCCUACGUCAAGAACAAGGAUUCCCAAGAUUAAAUAAUAUUUGGUGAUGGGAAUCAAGGCAAGGUGAAAGGGUUAGGGAAAAUUGCUAUUUCAUCUGAGCACUCUAUUUCUAAUGUGUUUUUAGUUGAGUCGCUUGGAUAUAAUUUGUUAUCUGUUAGUCAAUUAUGCAGUAUGGGAUAUAAUUGUCUAUUCACAAAUGUAGAUGUGUCUGUCUUUAGAAGAAGGUGAUGGUUCAUUAGCUUUUAAGGGUGUAUUAGACGACAAACUCUAUUUAGUUGAUUUUGCAAAAGAGGAGGCCGGUCUAGAUGCAUGCUUAAUUGCUAAGACUAGCAUGGGCUGGCUGUGGCAUCGCCGCUUAGCACAUGUGGGGAUGAAGAACUUUCACAAGCUUCUAAAGGGAGAACACGUGAUAGGUCUAACUAAUGUUACCUUCGAAAAAGAUAGACCUUAUGCAGCUUGUCAAGCAGGGAAACAAGUGGGAAGCUCUCAUCAUGCCAAAAAUGUGAUGACAACAUCAAGACCCCUGGAGUUACUUCAUAUGGACCUCUUCGGACCCGUCGCCGAUCUAAGCAUAGGAGGAAGUAAGUAUGGUCUUGUUAUAGUUGAUGAUUUUUCCCGCUUCACUUGGGUAUUCUUUUUGCAGGAUAAAUCUGAAACCCAAGGGACCCUCAAGCGCUUCCUAAGGAGAGCUCAAAACGAGUUUGAGCUCAAGGUGAAGAAGAUCAGAAGCGACAAUGGGUCCGAGUUCAAGAACCUUCAAGUGGAGGAGUAUCUUGAGGAGGAAGGAAUCAAGCACGAGUUCUCCGCUCCCUACACACCACAGCAAAAUGGUGUGGUAGAGAGGAAGAACAGGACACUUAUAGACAUGGUGAGGACGAUGCUUGGAGAGUUCAAGACACCCGAGCGCUUUUGGGCGGAAGCCAUGAACACGGCUUGCCACGCCAUCAACCGGGUCUACCUUCAUCGCCUCCUCAAGAAGACUUCGUAUGAGCUACUAACCGGUAACAAACCCAAUGUUUCGUAUUUCCGAGUUUUUGGGAGUAAAUGCUACAUUCUAGUGAAGAAGGGUAGGAAUUCCAAAUUUGCUCCCAAAGCAGUAGAAGGGUUUUUGUUAGGUUAUGACUCAAAUACAAAGGCGUAUAGGGUCUUCAACAAAUCAUCGGGUUUGGUUGAAGUCUCUAGCGACGUUGUAUUUGAUGAGACUAAUGGCUCUCCAAGAGAGCAAGUUGUUGAUCUUGAUGAUGUAGAUGAAGAAGACGUUCCAACGGCCGCAAUGCGCACCAUGGCGAUUGGAGAUGUGAGGCCAAUGGAACAAAAGGAGCAAGAUCAACCUUCUUCCUCAACAACAGUGCAUCCCCCAACUCAAGAAGAUGAACAGGUUCAUCAAGAGGAGGCGUGUGAUCAAGGGGGAGCACAAGAUGUUCAUGUGAUAGAGGAAGAAGCGCAACCGGCACCUCCAACUCAAGUUCGAGCGACGAUUCAAAGGGUAGAAGAGGCCUUGCUAGAUCCGGACUGGGUGUUGGCCAUGCAAGAGGAGCUCAACAACUUCAAGAGAAAUUAAGUUUGGACACUGGUGCCUCGUCCCAAGCAAAAUGUUGUGGGAACAAAGUGGGUGUUCCGCAACAAACAAGACGAGCACGGAGUGGUGACAAGGAACAAGGCACGACUUGUGGCAAAAGGUUAUGCCCAAGUCGCAGGUUUGGACUUUGAGGAGACUUUUGCUCCUGUGGCUAGGCUAGAGUCCAUUCGUAUAUUGCUAGCGUAUGCCGCUCACCAUUCUUUCAGGCUGUUCCAAAUGGAUGUGAAGAGCGCUUUCCUCAACGGGCCAAUCAAGGAGGAGGUGUACGUGGAGCAACCCCUGGCUUUGAGGAUGAACGGUACCCCGACCACGUAUAUAAGCUCUCUAAGGCGCUCUAUGGACUUAAGCAAGCCCCAAGAGCAUGGUAUGAAUGCCUUAGAGACUUUUUAAUUGCUAAUGCUUUCAAGGUUGGGAAAGCCGAUCCAACUCUUUUUACUAAGACUUGUGAUGGUGAUCUUUUUGUGUGCCAAAUUUAUGUCGAUGACAUAAUAUUUGGUUCUACUAACCAAAAGUCUUGUGAAGAGUUUAGCAGAGUGAUGACUCAAAAGUUUGAGAUGUCAAUGAUGGGCGAGUUAAGCUACUUCCUUGGGUUCCAAGUGAAACAACUCAAGGAUGGGACCUUCAUCUCACAAUCGAAGUACACGCAAGACUUGAUCAAGCGAUUUGGGAUGAAGGAUGCCAAGCCCGCAAAGACUCCAAUGGGAACCGACGGACACACCGACCUCUACAAAGGAGGUAAGUCCGUUGAUCAAAAGGCAUACCGGUCUAUGAUAGGGUCUUUACUUUAUUUAUGUGCUAGUAGACUGGAUAUUAUGCUUAGUGUAUGCAUGUGUGCUAGAUUUCAAUCCGAUCCAAGGGAUUGUCACUUAGUGGCUGUGAAGCGAAUUCUUAGAUAUUUAGUCGCUACGCCUUGCUUCGGGAUCUAGUAUCCAAAGGGGUCUACCUUUGACUUGAUUGGAUAUUUAGACCCCGACUAUGCUGGAUGUAAGGUCGAUAGGAAGAGUACAUCGGGGACGUGCCAAUUCUUAGGAAGGUCCCUGGUGUCGUGGAGUUCAAAGAAACAAACUUCUGUUGCCCUAUCCACCGCUGAGGCCGAGUACGUUGCCGCAGGACAGUGUUGCGCGCAACUACUUUGGAUGAGGCAAACCCUCAGGGACUUUGGCUACAAUUUGUGCAAAGUCCCACUCCUAUGUGAUAAUGAGAGUGCUAUCCGCAUGGCGGAUAAUCCUGUUGAACAUAGCCGCACAAAGCACAUAGACAUCCGGCAUCACUUUUUGAGAGACAACCAGCAAAAGGGAGAUAUCGAAGUGUUUCAUGUUAGCACCGAGAACCAGCUAGCCGAUAUCUUUACCAAGCCUCUAGAUGAGAAGACCUUUUGCAGGUUGCAUAGUGAGCUAAAUGUCUUAGAUUCGCGGAACUUGGAUUGAUGUGUAGCAUACAUGUGUUUUAUGCCUUGAUCAUGUUCCUUAAUGCAUUUUGUUGAUUAAUUAUGGUGCUCAAGUUGUACAAGCACUCCCCGGACCUCACAAGUCCAUUUGCAAGUGAUGCACAUAUUUAGGGGGAGUUGUGCUACAACUUGACCCUUUGAGACUAACUGUGUGCUUGAGUUUGCUUAAUUUAGUCUCAAAGGAGGUUGAAAGGGAAAAGGUGGACUUGGACCAUGCAAGACCUCCACUGCACUCCGAUGAAAGAGUAACUGAUUCCAAGUUCAUCUUUGUACUCUUAUUGCCUUUUUUACUCUUAGUUGAAGAUUUUGGUGAGGCAAUGGGGUUAAAGGGCCAAAAUUGAUCCCGUUUUGGUGCUUGAUGCCAAAGGGGGAGAAAAUAAGGCCAAAGCAAGGAAAUGGAUCAGCUACCACUUGAGAAUUUUGAAAAAGAAGAGUUAGAGUUUUUGUUUGUCAAAAUACUCCUGUUUGUCUCUUAUUGUCAAAAGUUGGUCUCUUGUGGGGGAGAAGGCUUAAUUAUGGGAAAAAGGGGGAGUUUUUGAACUCUUUGAUGAAUUUCUCUUGAAAUAUCUCUCUUUAUGUUUCAACAAGUGUGUUUAGAAAUUGAGUUUGAUUUGCAAAAACAAACCAAGUGGUGGCAAAGAAUGAUCCAUAUAUGUCAAAUCUGAAUCAAAACAAUUUUGAGUUCUUAGUUGAAUUGAUUUUGCACUUGUUCUACUUACUUUAUGUUGUGUUGGCAUAAAUCACCAAAAAGGGGGAGAUUGAAAGGGAAAUGUGCCCUUAGGCCAUUUCUAAGUAUUUUGGUGAUUUAGUGUCCAACACAAGUGCCUAAGUGUUAAAUGGUGGACAAAGUACAAAUCGAGUAUAAAGGUAUGUUUCUUAGACUUAGUACAUUGUUUUAGAGACUAAUGUAUUAUGUCUAAGUGCUGGAAACAGGAUAAUCAAGUUGAAACUAAAGAUGGCUUUGUUCAGCCAAAGUCAACUCUGUCUGGGUGCACCGGACUGUCCGGUGGUGCACCGGACAGUGUCCGGUGCGCCAGGCUAGCUCAGGCAAACUUGCUGCUCUCGGGAAGUGAUUAACGGCGUACGACUAUAAUUCACCGGACUGUACGGUGUGCACCGGACUGUCCGGUGAGCCAACGGUCGGCCGGGCCAACGGUCGGCCGCGCGAUUCGCGCGAGACACGUGGCCGAGCCAACGGUUAGAAGGGGGCACCGGACUGUCCGGUGUGCACCGGACAGUGUCCGGUGCGCCAACGGCUCUCAAGUGCCAACGGUCGGCUUCGCCGAAGAAGGAAAGAAAUCCGCACCGGACAGUGUCCGGUGCGCCAGGCGACAGAAGGCAAGAAUUGCCUUCUUGAAUUGCUCUCAACGGCUCCUAGCUGCCUUGGGGCUAUAAAAGGGACCCCUAGGCGCAUGGAGGAGAACACCAAGCAUUCUCUAAGCAUUCCUAAGCACCAAGACUUCGAUUCCGCGCAUUUGAUUCUUUGUGAUAGCAAUUGGAGCUCUAUUUGAGUUGUGAACUCAUCGAGUUGUGUUGUGAGCUCUUGUUGCGACUUGUGUGCGUGUUGUCGCUCUAAUUUUGUGUCUUGUGUGCGUUGCUCAUCCCUUCCUUACUCCGUGCUUCUUUGUGAACAUCAAAGUGUAAGGGCGAGAGACUCCAAGUUGUGGAGAUUCCUCGCAAGUGGGAUAUAGUAAAGUGAAAGCAAAACACCGUGGUAUUCAAGUGGGUCUUUGGACCGCUUGAAAGGGGUUGAUUGCAACCCUCGUCCAUUGGGACGCCACAACGUGGAGUAGGCAAGUGUUGGACUUGGCCGAACCACGGGAUAAACCACUGUGCCACCUCUGUGUUGAUCUCUUUGUGGUUAUCGUGUUGUGCAAGCUCUCUUCUCUAGCCACUUGGCUUAAUUGUGCUAACUCCAAAUCAAGUUUUGUGGAUUAAGUUUCAAGUUUUCACAGGAUCACCUAUUCACCCCCUCUAGGUGCUCUCAAAGCCGGGCUGCGGCUUCCCUCCUGCCCUCAGCUUCAAGGAUGUUCAUCAUCCUCGCUGGGGCGGAAGGCGCGUCGAGCCGGGGUUCUGCCUCCCGUGUGGGCCAGCGGCCCGCUUCUUCCUCCAACAUUUGGGGGAGGAGAGGGGUUCAACAGCCACGCGAAGGAGGCGAACUUCGGCUAUGCGGGGCCGGCCAUGUGCAGGCGCUGACAGCUGCCGCGUGCCUGGCUCUUGGCCUGGGUGGCCCUGUCGCCGCCUCCGACGCUGCCUCCUGCCGUUUGGUCGGGGCGUGGCUGUCCGUCCACCACACGGGCGACCGUCGCGCCGUGCGCGGGUCCGCCACAUCCACGGCUUCUCCCGCGCCGCCGGCCAUACGGGGGGACCGUCCAAGACGCCGUACGUUGCGAGAGUGGUGGUGGCGUUCUUGGAUGGUCUUGUCCUCACUCCGUGGGAGGACGGGAGCGAGGACCUCUUAUGCGGAGGUGGCCGUGGUCGUCGGUGCUGAGGCGGUGGCUGCCGCUGGUGAGGCUGCCCCUUGCAGAGGUGGUUGCCUCCUCUAUCGAGACCAUCAGGGCCACCUGCCACUGAGUCCUUGACUCUUUGGCUUUAAUGGCCUCGUUAUCGCCCCCUAUAGGAGGACGGGGGCGAGGACCUUUCACAGCCGCGCUCACCCUGAGGUGGUCGCUGCUGCUGGCAUACCGCCCAAAGCGGAGGUCGUUGUCGCUGCUGAUGCAGAGGUGGUCGCUGUUGCCGGCGAUCCGUCGAUGCAGAGGUGGUCGCCGCCGCUGGUGAGGCAGCCCGGAGCCAGCUUCCAGCGCGACUCUUGUUGGUGCAGCGUAGUCCAUUCCUGCAGAGAUGGAGCUGGGUCCCGUUUGUAAGGGAAUGUAAUAACAUUUGCUUGAAAGCAAAAUGUAAUAACAUAUGUAUGCAGGAUUUUAGCCUGGGAAACCAAGUUGUGUGUCCGAACCCCCUAGAUGGUGGCUUCAUGUACCAAGACACCUGUCGCAGGGCGGUGGAGUAUGCAGGCUCACGGCACGGGACCAGGCUGAGUGGAUACAUGGCUUCCGGACCCCCCAGGAGACAAGUGUUUGUUCUUCAAAACCGGACCUCCAGUUCGUUGGACGCACAGGACUAUAGUUUUAAAUACUAGAACACCUGUCAUGGAGUGGUGGAGUGUGCAGGGUUUUGGGUACGGAACCAGGCUAACCGGCCACAUAGGCUCUGGACCACCCUAUGGAACAGGCAUCCGUUCCUUAGAACCGACCCCUAGGCCUUCCCCUGUUUUUGUAAAGUAAUAGAUAAUAUCUAUUAAGCAGUAUUUAACACUUAUCUGUGUGUUGCUCGAUCCUGUUGUUAACUUCCCUUGGUACCUGGCCCCCCGCCUGGGGUACAGGCUCGAUGUGUCGAGGCUAGACACCAGCGCGUAUAAAAGAGUUGUCAACGUCCUUCGGGAGGCAGCCUCACCGAGACCUGGAUCUAUACAUAGCUUUAGCUGAAAAGUGUUAGUGAUACACCCGUAGACCCCGUCAUCUGGCAUUUUUCAUCCUUUGAUACAUGCUCGGUAUUUGCAGUGUUUUGGCUAGGGGAAGCAAGUUGUGUGUCCGGACCCCCUGGAUGGUGGUUCUAGAUACUAGGACGCUUGUCACAGAGUGGUAGAACAUGCAGGCCCACGGUACGGGACCAGGCUGAGCGGCUACAUGGUUCCGGACCACCCCAGGAGACAAGCGUCUCUUCUCUAGUUUCAGACCCCAAGUUGUCGGACCCACAGGACUUAUAGCUCUAAGUACAAGGGUGCUCAUCACGGAGUGUUGGAGUGUGCAAGGUUUUGGGUACGGAACCAGGCUAACCGGCCGCACAGGCUCCGGACCACCCCAUGAAACGAGCACUCGUUCCUCAGAGCCGGCCCCCAGACUGUCGGGUCCCCCCUGCUUUCACAUAGAGGUCCUAAACUACAACUCUGGCUGUUCAAUCCAGAUGUCAUUAUGCCUGGUGGGAUGGGAGCAGGGCAGGUGGGUUAGAUAAAACACUAUCAGAAACUGCAGGGUGAGACCGUGGAGCAGUAGGAAAUUGCUAUCAUAGAGGCAUAUCUUGAGAGGGUAGUUUUCCUUUAUAGCUAAUCAUGCAUGGGUGCAGGCCAACAGGCCGGGUUUAUGGGGCACACCCUACCGGGUUGGCACACCCGUGUGCACUACCUAGUUACAAAAAGGGAAAAACUUUGACCCCUUAGACUUGCUCUAUAGAUAAAACUUACAGAGAUAUUUUGACAUUGGGGGAGGCAUUCCUUCAGUCGUAGCUAGACAGUUGCCCUUGGGUCGGGGUACUCACAUUACCAUGAAGGGUCCUUCCCAGCUGGGGGAGUGUUACGGAGCCCUAAUUUGGUCUGGUACCUUUGUAGGAUUAGGUCCCGACCCUGGGUUCCCAUCUGCAUUUGACGAAGGAGGCCCCGCCUUUGGCUGUGGUCAUUCCUGGAUGAACCUAUCAGAAAGCUGGACCCGUGGGGAAUCCAGAUGGGUUUCUGGAGGAAGGUUGUCACACCCGGUUUUGGAAGGCAAACCGAAUGCGAACUAUGUACGUGCCAGGAUCAGAAUUCACGUACACAGCGAUUACAUAAAUGAACAUCAUCGCACAGUGCUCGAAUAAAAACAUGAAAGGGUAUUAACUUAUUACAUCACAGAGUCAUAGACAUCCACAUAGUCAUCAACUUAACAGUUAAAUCAAAGUGCUAGCGAAACACAGUAAAGAUAAGGCCUUCACAGGCAGCUGACUGGGGGUUGCCGCCAACCCACACCUAGAAUUCGUCGUAGUCUUGAAACUCCUGGAAGUCUCCUUCCACGACUUCGUCUUCUCCUGAGCAGUGGUUGCAAUGUGGACAACCUGGUGUUUGGUGGUAAAGCAAGGAUGAGUACACAUCAACGUACUCAGCAAAUGUCCCGUUUGGCUGAAGUGGACUAGCUUUAUGUGGGGCUAGGCUCAAGCAGUUGCUUUUAGUUGGUCAGGUAUUUAUUAUUAGUAGGAGCCAGGUUUUAUCAUAAAACCCAAGUUAUAAUCCCAAAAAGUACUUCCUCAGAGAAGAAAUACUAGAAAACAUAAUUAAAGUCACCAUCUGAAGUGUAUCCGGAGUAUCUCUAAUCAAAGAGGAUCCCAAGGCUGCUCUUAACCGUGAGCACGGCUGAUAUACUAGUUUCACUACCCUCUGCAGAGGUCGCACACUUUACCCAUGAGCCGUGAUUCCCUCUCUAGCCCGGGCUUGCAAGACCCUUAUUCACUCCCAAGGUGAAUGGCCAGGGAUUCACUACGAAGCCUUUACAAAGAUUCCCUAGAGGUCAUAGCUGCCCGUUAGGUUUCUCCAGUUUGAUAAACACAGUACCUCUCCCCGCAGGAAGGUGACUAAAAAGCAAAACGAAAGAACCUCGGCACUCAGCCUCGGUAGAGCAAGCACUGUGCCUGGACCCCAUUGACGGCACGACGGCGAAGCAACUACACUUCUAGUUCCUCUAAUUAAUUAGCUAAGGGCACCCCAUUCCACCCUCAUGGUUGCACUGUUAUCCCGGGUGGUCUCUCAACGAACAGGUCCUUAUGGAGAGGUACUCGAGAAACUGCUCGAGUCCCCUAAAUGCCACAAGUACAUCAUCAUAUCCAGAAUAAAAUCAUAGUAUCAUCAUUGUAUCUCAUAAUGUUCAUUGAUUAAAGUAAAGCGCUAGCAUGUAGCUAACCAUAGUAACCCAAAAGGUAAAUCAAGGACAAGGUGAAUAGAAAGCUAGUAAAUCCUUAGGUUUCAAUUAAGUAAUGCGGGAUAGUGAAUUAUAAGUGAAUAGGACAUAAUGGGUCAGAGGACACUUGCCUUCACCAAAUAGAUGCUCAGGGUCUUCAACCUUGCAGAACUCGAAGAACCAGGUCACUUGGUCACCGAAGCUUGACCGUCGAUUCCUCGAAGCUCGAAAACGGAUCAUAAUCUAAUCGCAACGCGAAGCGAAGACAAACAGGCACAAGCAAACAAACAUAUAUAUGCAUAAGAACGUUACACCAUGCCAAAGAGAACAUAAUAAAAACAUGCAAUACGAAAUAGAGCUCGCUACUACGGUCACGCAAGGAAAAGAACACGAUAGUCUGAGCUAUGGUCGAGAGGUUAUGACGUUUACGCUACGCUAGUAAUAGUCAGGACAUUUAAUUCGACAUUUUCAAAUAUAACUUAUAACUGUCAUUUAGUUUUGAUUAAAUUUAUUACACUAAUAGCUGUCAAAUAAGUAAGUAAUAUAGUUAGCACGAGAGAUUUUAAGCGAGGUGAGUUUACGAUGCAGGAAAAAGCAUGACAUAGCACGCUGACAACACACCAAACGAUGCGCGCGACCAGCGUGAACGACGCGCGAACCAGCACGCCACCACGAGCACAUUACGCGUGAACAGCGUGCAGACAGUGCGACGAUGUGUGAUACUCGCUAACAUAUAACGAGACUAUACUAACCAAGUAUUAAAUGAAAAGUGUUUAAGUUGGUGUUCAUCAAGUUAACAUUUAUCUAUAAAAUCGUGAGUUAGAAAUUAUAAACUAGUUUUAAUUAGAAGACCAUUUUUAAUAAGUAUUGAAUGAACAAAUAAUUAAAUAAUUAAAUAAUUAAAACUUGUGACAUGAUAAAAUACAUUACUAAUACGAAAUCGACGCGACUGAACAAUUAAUUUAGAACAAACACGUUAUGCCGCAGCGAAUCGAUAUCAUGUCUACACUAACCAAACAUAAAUGGUAGACUAACCAAACAUGAAUGAAAACGCUUCGGAUUGAUACAACUACCUUAAUAGAUAUUAACGAAGCGUAGAAUUAAAAUUACAAAUUUGUUUUCGGUUGAAUUGUUAUUUUAAUAACCGACCACUAAACAACUAAUUACUAAUUAAUAAUUUAACAUGCAUGAAGUGGCGAAAUGAUUUUACUAAAACGCGCAACUAGCGAUUUGCGUGAAAGACGGCACGAGCGAAACAUACGAGAAAUACUAAAUAGAGAGUGUGUUUAUACUAAAGAAGUAUUAUUUCGAAAACAUUCUAUUAGACGUAAUUAUAUUAACAUGUAUUUAUAAAGUGAAUCUAAACUAUAAAUGAGUUCAAUUAAUUGCUACUUUAAUAAUUGUCAGAUAAAUAGAUGACCAAUUAAUUAACAUUAGAAAGUGCAUGAUGAUAAAGUAAUGUUACCUAAUACAUCGUUAAUAUAGCUCUACGAAGCUAACACAAAAGAAAUAAGUCGAAACGGAUUUACAACACAAAUAUAUUGGAUAUUUAAUGGUUCGCGGAAUCUAAACGAUGUGGCACGCAACAGCGCGCGCAAACCGCACGUGAACAGUAACAAUGACACAUGCGGAUAGCACAAGCAGUCCGUGCGACAACUCGCGGGCAGUGCACGGGCAACAGCGCAAGACGCGAACUCGCAAACGCUACAAAGAUGCGACGACGUGCGCGAACAACACGACAAGCGGGAAAUCAUUAACAGAUAUCGUGCUUAGAAUGAACACAUAUUAAACAAAUAUAAACAUUUAAUUUGGCUUAAAUCAUGUUAACGUCCAUUUACACGUGCGCAAAUUAAAACUAUACAUUAGUUUUAAUUAGAUCUCUACUUUAACAUCCAUCAGAUAAACAAACAAACAAUUAAUUAGUUAAAACACUUGUCACGAUAAAAUAAUAUUAUUAACUCGCCGGUAACGUUAUUACAAAGCUAAUGCAAGUUGAACAAAGGGAAUCGAAUUUUAUAACGCAACAUAUAUUAAUUAUUUAGUACUUCACUGAUUUUAAACGACGUGGCUAAUUAUUAUUGGUUAGAGGCUGGCCACACCUAUGGUCACACGAAACACAGCCAUAGAGGAUCCCAAGCUUAGGAUCACAUGUGGCUAGCUUCUUCUCUGUUGUAACCGCACAACGCAGAACGCACGACGGUUCUUCUUCCUUGGAGUUUGGACAGGAAAACUGGCAUGGGGAAGAGGGAAGGAGGGGCCAGCUGAGGCCUCACCGGCCAGCUAGCCAGGCCGCCGCGGGGUAGAGGGAGUUGGGUCUGGCCGCUAGCCGGGCCACGCCGCGGCUGCCAGGUUGGGGCGCCGGGCGAGGGCGCUGAUGGACGGACGGCUGGUCGCGGUGCGCGGCGGCUCGCCGGGGCUGCUGGUCGCCACGCCGGGCAAGCCGUGCCUGUUGCUGCGCGCGCUGGCCGCUGCGCUGGGUGAGCCACCGGCUGGCCGCGCCGAGGACGAGGCCAGGCUCGCGCGCCAGCCUAGGGAGCUCGUCGGGGAAGGGCCUCAGCCAUGGCUACGGCACGGCGGCGUACCGCGAGCAGGGCCCGAGGGGCUCCCCGCCGGGGCCAGGGAGAGGGAUGGGAGAAGAACGCGUGGGGAGGGAGAGGAAGAAGGAUCCGUGAGUACCUGGUAACAGUCGCCCUUCACGCCUGCGAUCUGGAUCUGGGGAAACGAUCUGGAUCUGGGGGAAGUCAGGAGGUUUUGCGAUGGCUAGAGUAGUAUUUGUAGAAAAGAGAGGAUGUGGAAGGCGGUUGUAAAAUUUGUCGCAGGUUGCGUCCUGGCCGAGCCAAAGCGACGAUCGCGCGAUGAGUUGCACGAUACAGUAAACGACGGAGACCGAGUUAGGCAGAGGUAGGCGAUGGUAGAUGAAAUAAAGGGGUAACAGGUGUGCGAGCAGCAAACGUUCACGAGGAGGAAAUCCGGUUUGACGACCUCGCGAAAAUGACACAAAUCAUAGAACGAGUUCGACGAGAGGAACACAU
RNAcentral lists this long non-coding RNA (18536 nucleotides) under Zea mays. Its description in RNAcentral is "long non-coding RNA (ZMAY_LNC003844)". The record is from RNAcentral. Lineage: Eukaryota; Viridiplantae; Streptophyta; Magnoliopsida; Poales; Poaceae.